Molecule: long non-coding RNA, 450 nt
Filed under: Phoenix dactylifera (date palm)
Lineage: Eukaryota; Viridiplantae; Streptophyta; Magnoliopsida; Arecales; Arecaceae
Description: long non-coding RNA (PDAC_LNC011055)
Source: RNAcentral
UCGGGUUCGGGUCUGAGUCGGGUUCGGGUCCGAAUCGGGUCCAAUUUCUUUGUGCUUUUGGGAAAGAAUUUUGGGCAAAUCUAAUUUGACCAUAUCAUAAUUAUAAGGUGCUGGGUGACCCAUGACUUGAAAGACUUGCAAUUGACCUCCAAUCAGAACAGAUGACCCGUGACGAAUUAAGUCCGUCCGUCUACAAGCCAAAAUUCAUAUCACACUAUUUUUUUAUCUAUAUGACUAAUUGGAUGGAACUUGGUGUCUCGCAGCUCCCCUCUCACGAGGGCAAAGAAAGUCCCAGACCUUCUUCCAAAAUCCAAUUCCAUUGCAGAAACUGGCACACGACCAAUAUUCAGUCAAGCGAGAUCCAGCGCCCGGAUCCACGCUCCUCCCGGCUUCUUCCGCUCGACCCAACGCGAUCACAGCUCCAUCCCAGCGUCUCUUCCGCGUCUCCUU